AUUGUUAAAGGAUAAUAGCGCAUCCACUGGUCUUAGGAACCAAAAACUCUUGGUGCAAAUCCAAGUAACAAUU
Molecule: transfer RNA, 73 nt
Filed under: Macrourus whitsoni (Whitson's grenadier)
Lineage: Eukaryota; Metazoa; Chordata; Actinopteri; Gadiformes; Macrouridae
Description: tRNA-Leu
Rfam family: tRNA
About the family: Transfer RNA (tRNA) molecules are approximately 80 nucleotides in length.
Source: RNAcentral